Molecule: non-coding RNA, 30 nt
Filed under: Rattus norvegicus (Norway rat)
Lineage: Eukaryota; Metazoa; Chordata; Mammalia; Rodentia; Muridae
Source: RNAcentral
GUAUAAUUUUGAAUUGGGUCAUGCUUCUGC